This is a long non-coding RNA of Sander lucioperca (pikeperch), 498 nucleotides long. RefSeq lists it as uncharacterized. NCBI's taxonomy places the organism in Eukaryota, Metazoa, Chordata, Actinopteri, Perciformes, Percidae. The record is from RefSeq and is a predicted model, not a curated record. The transcript is spliced from 4 exons.
GCACAUCUGUGUGCCUGACUGCUUUCAGCGCGAGUCAUUAUUAGGCAGAGCUAAUAAGCGGGACCAGUGUAAGUUGCUUUAUAAAAGUGUAUUUUUUUGGUCUUGUAAUUUACAGGAAGCAGUACGCCGUCUUCACAACUCGGAGACAAAUUGUAGGCGCUACAAACUGGAGCAAGGACUAACCUCGCCUCAGGCCGUGACCUAUUUGCUCGGAGUAAGUCCAGAUUUACAUGAUGUUGACAAUGACGACAUUGUGUCUGUCUGUAAUUACGAGACAGUAAGCAGGAGCUUCAGGUAGAAACAACCAGAUCUCGCAUCGCAGGCGGAAGCUGUGAAGAGUUGAGCUCAAGGUCCAGCAAGAAGAAAGAGGCUGCUGGAAGCGAGACAGAGUGUGCUGGAUGGAUUGUGCGUCCUUUUCGCAGCCAGUAGAAGUACAGGACAACGCACCACAGUCUUCUGCAAAACGGACCGAAUUAAGACAGAAUGCUGCCAGUUACC